Molecule: ribosomal RNA, 561 nt
Filed under: Candidatus Saccharimonadota bacterium
Lineage: Bacteria; Candidatus Saccharimonadota
Description: partial 23S ribosomal RNA
Rfam family: Bacterial large subunit ribosomal RNA
Source: RNAcentral
UAAAAAGGUACAAAGGGCACUGAUAGUGGAUGCCUUGACAUUUGCAACCGAUGAAGGACGUAGAACUCUGCGAUAAGCCUCGGGUAGCUGAGAACAAGCUUUAAUCCGGGGAUUUCCGAAUGGGGAAACCUAAUACAAGUCAUGUUGUAUUGCCGUUACCUGAACACAUAGGGUAAUGAGACGGGUACCAGCCGAACUGAAUCAUCUUAGUAGGUUGAGGAAAAGAAAAUAACCAAUGAUUCCGAAAGUAGUGGCGAGCGAAAUUGGAAUAGUCUAAACCUCAAGAUAACCUUACGGUUUAACGACCAGAGUUAUCAGGGGUGUUGCGUGUUUACACAAUUUUUAUGCUGAGCAGUUAAGCUUGCUUGACCGUUCGGCAUAAAAACCGACAGCGUUAACUGAGCGGAUAAGAUUCAUAGUUGUUAGCGGAAGCGUUUGAAAGACGCGCCAAAGAUGGUGAAAGCCCAGUAUGCGAAAACAACUAUUAGAACUUAUAUGUGUUUUCACAAGUAGGACGGGGCACGAGAAACCCUGUUUGAAUCCGGCAGGACCACCUGCCAA